This 48-nucleotide transfer RNA is filed under the name Pandarus rhincodonicus. RNAcentral's name for it is "tRNA-Ala". Lineage: Eukaryota; Metazoa; Arthropoda; Copepoda; Siphonostomatoida; Pandaridae. The record is from RNAcentral.
GGGGUUGAAAUUUCAAUUUGCAGUUGAGUAAAGCUUAUAGCCAACCUU